UGUUUUCAGUUACUCUGAUCUGU
Molecule: small nuclear RNA, 23 nt
Filed under: Arabidopsis thaliana (thale cress)
Lineage: Eukaryota; Viridiplantae; Streptophyta; Magnoliopsida; Brassicales; Brassicaceae
Description: snRNA_11177
Source: RNAcentral